Molecule: long non-coding RNA, 338 nt
Organism: Salvia splendens (bonfire salvia)
Lineage: Eukaryota; Viridiplantae; Streptophyta; Magnoliopsida; Lamiales; Lamiaceae
Exons: 3
Source: RefSeq, a predicted model, not a curated record
UAGUUGGUCAAAUAUAUUUCUCCAAACCCUAUCACCAGACGAUUACCCCAUAUCUCCACUCCCUAAAAUAUCUCCAACAAACCAAAUCUCCAAAGAAUUUAUUAUAUAUCUCAACUACUCCACAUGUUUCACGUUCCACACCUCCAAAGAAACCGAGCGGGAGUAGAGAGAAACCGUGAUUUCGUCCAUCCAAUUCUAUCCUGCAAAUUGCAAAAUCUCUCUCUUCCAAAAAGGGUGAACUUGUGCGCGUUGUUGCGGUUGGAACAGGAAAGUGUUUGAGGAGUUAAGCGUAUGAGGUUGAGCGUGACGGGUGCGGUGGGUGUUGAGCAAGACCGUUG